CGGAUCGAUAGUGAUUACUGGUAGCAUAUGAGUCAUAGACAAUGAAUACGUGUCUGGAAUGUGUCCAA
RNAcentral lists this small nucleolar RNA (68 nucleotides) under Pteropus alecto (black flying fox). RNAcentral's name for it is "Small nucleolar RNA SNORD113/SNORD114 family". It matches the Rfam family "Small nucleolar RNA SNORD113/SNORD114 family". Rfam says of the family: The imprinted human domain at 14q32 contains two clusters of tandemly repeated small nucleolar RNAs named 14q(I) and 14q(II) snoRNAs. These two clusters are named SNORD113 and SNORD114 respectively in the HGNC approved gene symbol nomenclature. Lineage: Eukaryota; Metazoa; Chordata; Mammalia; Chiroptera; Pteropodidae. The record is from Rfam by way of RNAcentral. RNAcentral also lists the same sequence under 1 other name.